AGCAGCCGCGGUAAUUCCAGCUCCAAUAGCGUAUAUUAAAGUUGUUGCAGUUAAAAAGCUCGUAGUUGAAUUUCGGGGUCAAUAAGUUGGUCAUGCCAAUGGUAUGUACUGGCUUUAUUGAUUCCUACCUCUUGACGAACUGUGAUGCCAUUAAUUUGGUGUUGCAAGGAAUCAGGACUGUUACCUUGAAAAAAUUAGAGUGUUUAAAGCAAGCUUACGCUUGAAUACAUUAGCAUGGAAUAAUGAAAUAGGACGUUUGAUCCUAUUUUGUUGGUUUCUAGGAUCGACGUAAUGAUUAAUAGGGAUAGUUGGGGGCAUUAGUAUUCAAUUGUCAGAGGUGAAAUUCUUGGAUUUAUUGAAGACUAACUACUGCGAAAGCAUUUGCCAAGGAUGUUUUCAUUAAUCAAGAACGAAAGUUAGGGGAUCGAAGACGAUCAGAUACCGUCGUAGUCUUAACCAUAAACUAUGCCGACUAGGGAUCGGAUGAUGUUAAUUUUUAAUGUA
RNAcentral lists this ribosomal RNA (504 nucleotides) under uncultured Glomus. Its description in RNAcentral is "SSU rRNA". It matches the Rfam family "Eukaryotic small subunit ribosomal RNA", at positions 569 to 1078 of the family's 1831-position model. The record is from RNAcentral. Lineage: Eukaryota; Fungi; Glomeromycota; Glomeromycetes; Glomerales; Glomeraceae.